UUUAAGCACUGUAACCUUGGCAAACGCACAAUGACCCAGUGAGGCUGCGACAGUGUUUGCACCGCGGCUGGACUCAGGUGGUAGUCCAGGCCUUUGGUGGAGGUGGUCUAGAUACACGCGAGAGAUGCUUUACCAGCGUUGUUUGCUGUUGUUCACUUUGUUCCUGUGUGUCCUCCUUGCUAUACACAUACAGUAUUUAAACGCUGAUCUUAUUCAGAUUUAGCCUUUUAAUUCCAUCCAUGACAGGAAAUGAGGUGAGAUACGCAUCAGAAUGUCAUUACUUCAUAGUCAGCAAAAGCUGCCUGUGAUACGGCAGAUUCUCUGCUCUGACACUCAGCCUUGCGAUGGCACCGCGACCGGUGGACGCCUGCGACUUUUGGUGGAAUGGAGAUAAAACUUUUUCCAAAUGCCAGCGAGUCUGUGGCAUUUAGGGACGUGGGAUCCUUUUCAUGAAUUCCGACUAAAUGGUCACGGCUCUUGUAGCCUGCUGCUGCUAAUUGAGACCAGUCAGCUACAACAAUGACGCUGAGGUCAGAGUCGCAGGCAGCUUUGUGUGCGGAUGGCUUUUAGAUAUCACACCUGCCAACCUCUGCUGGUGUUUUUAGCCAUUUUUCCAUUUGAUUUAUUGAGAACCUAUUGACUGUAAAUCCCAAUAAUAUCAUAAUGACAUCUAAGAUCUGCUGUUAAUGUUUAACUUAUCAAAAUAAAACACAAACCUUGAGCACAGAGCCUGUUUUCACACUUUGCCGCACAAUGUGUGAAGCGCUGCCAGUGUUUAAUGUGAUCUGGAAGAGAGCUGGAACUUCACAUUAACUCAACAUCAUGACUUAUUAGAGGAAACAGCAAUUAGUCAGACCGUAAUGUACAUGAAACAUUCCUCCAGUCAGACACUGAAUAUUCUCUCAUUUGCUGCGUCUUAUCGUGGGCAAUAAUGUGCGUAUUAACACAAAGCCCCUCAUCUGAGCUGUGCCACUGCAUCUUUCCUCUGUAUAAUGUCCCCACUUACUUUAGAAAACAGUGGGAUGAAGGUUCAGUACUGUAUGUCUCAUCAUCUGACGUUGUUCUGCUCAGACACGUGAAUUGCUUUUAAAAAGAUAUGGGUAAUACAGGAUCAGUCCGUGACUUGUUCUGCUAUUUACACAGAAGACCGUCAAACUAGUCUGUUAUUUCCCAGUGAGAGUAAACAGCUUUUUACUGCUCCUAUGUCUCACCAAUGGUAAAGUGAGUGCACUGACACCAGGUGGCAGGAGUGUCCUCCUUUACAUAGGUUGAAUCUUCUCCAUGUCAUCAACCACCCACAACCACCCAGUGUAGUUAGAUGUAAAUGUAAAAACAGUGAACGUGAUUCCAGCUAAACCUGCUCACACAGUCUAUGUGUAAAAGAGUGCAUGUAGAUGGAGCGUUCAGAGCUUCUGUCUGAUCUUUGUCCGUUGACGACGUCUCACACUCUCAUGUUGUCAACCUACAUCAGAAGUGACGCUAAGUGAAUAUUUGGUGUGAAGAGCAGAUUUUCAGUGCGUUCACACCUGGCCAUCGCUUCCACACAAAAUGAGUCACUGAUGAUCGGAAAUCACAAAUGAUCCCUGUGAUGGAGUUGGCCUUUCACCCUGUAAACACACACCAGUUGCUCGCAGCACGAGCAAAACAUCUAAGAUACAGACCAUAAUAAACACUUCCCCGCUGUUCAUACAGUAGACUGCUAAGGUGGAGCAUUUAAUACAAGCUAGUGUGUAAAUGAGCCUCAUCAGACCUCAUGACAGAGUUCGUUCCAUCAAAUGGAUCGCGUGGCCAUUUAUAGUCUUGACGUAAGGGUUGCUGCUGAGUCUGCUGAAACUCAGCCUUUCAAUGCAGUGCAGUGCAGAACUGAAAGUAAACGUGACGGGUUACAAAAGAGAAGCACAGCACAGAUGCACCGUACAACAGUGUCAUGUGAUGCUACAUUCCUGCAAACACAGCUUUAAAAAUGUGCCAUAGCCAUAACCACAUAUGCUGUGGGACAUGACUGGUAUGUGUGCGUGUGAUAUGUAAAUGUGUUAGGCCUUUUGUGUUGUGCAGGACAAACACUCUGACCUGAGACUGGUGGUACAGGACUGAGUGGGAACCAGUGGGAAACCACUAUGCCUCAUUACACUUGCGAGGCACCAAUGUCUGGGAGCGUCACACCAACACAAGUGAUCACGACAAGGAAUGGUGGCUGUUCGAUAACACGGGAAGGUUAUGUGUUCCUCCUUUCUGGGUGGACAGAACCACCCAACUUCUCUCUAUCCCCACACCCCAGCCGGUGGAGGCAGAUGGCCGCCCAUCCUGAGCCUGGUAUUGAAAUAAAUGGAACUUUCUGAAGUUAAUGUACAUAAAGAAAAAAAAAUCUAAUUAAAAGUGAUGUUGUUAAGCAUAGGUAAAAAACAGACAAUAAAAAUAGAAUCCAAUGAAACAUCAAGUUUCUUCCUCCCAUUACCAUGAAGUUUGGUUUCCUUUUAUUUUGGUUAUUGGCGUCACAUUAGGCCUCGUCUCCGAAAGCAUGACGCUCACCCAGAUCACUGCCUCUGCUUCUGUUUACACCAUUAUCUGUCUUCUGCAGACAUAAUUGUGCCUCGUCAGAAAUAGAAGGGCAGACGCAAACUGUAAUAAGCAGUCAUUAGAGCCACAGUGGUAAUGGACGAGGUGUGUGUGUGUGUGUGUGUGUGUGUGUGUGUGUGUGUGUGUGUGUGUGUGUGUGUGUGUGUGUGUGUGUGUGUGUGUGACAGGGAUAGACCACAGGCUUGAAGCAGGUUGGACGACUGUCAGCUCUUCAGUUUCACACUGGUAUUUAUUUACCACGUCUAAUAAAUAGUGACCUUUGAUGCGCUUGUAACGCUUCCAAUCAACUUUUUCCUUUAACUACAUUUAAAAAUGAAAUGAUUUCGUUUAACUGGCCUCUCCAGUCAAGCAGCUGGCCACCUGCCCUCAGACAGAAUGUUUUUUGUGAAAAGGUGCCGUCUGUGGCGUCUCAGCGGGUCGUGGCCCGUCACAGUGUCCUCCUUUGUGCUGAAUGAUGCAGCUCUGACAUGAAUUGCUCGUUGAUGUCAGCUGACUCCAAGGAGAAACCAAUGUGUUGUUGAGGAGACAAACUUAAACUGACCCACUUUGAGCUGCUCUUAACUUUUUAAUGAACUUAAUGAGCUGUGAUUACAGUCAAUGUGCAGAUUAACGCUUGCUGCCUGGAACCAUGACCUACUGUAUGAUGGAAAUCAGCCGCUUGAUGUUAAACUGGGUUGAAUCGCUGUGAUUGAAGCUCGUUGAAACACCAGCUGCACGGGAACAUGCCGUUCACAUUAAAGUGGGACAUCACAGCAGCUGGAUGAGUAGUGAGGUGUCGACGCGGUCGACGGGGAGAGGAGCUCGUAGCUGUUAGACUUUCUGGGACUGCAGAACCAAUAGGGCUGGUUUCUGGAAUGGGCCACGGGCAGCAGACUGUUUUGAUGUUUGACAGGUCUCUGUGGAAACUGAGCUUGGCUUUGUCGGCCGUCUGGUUUCCGGAGGCUGUGACAUCACCUUCUGGAUAUUCGUGGCGGUGUCGGCUCCGGGGAAGCAGAAACAGGAGACGACUGGACCGUCUUCCCUUUUUAUGAAGCGCUGCACAGCCUUCAGCAGAUUCCUGGAGCUACGGCCCACGGUCACAACGCAAACAGAUGUUUAUGCAAAAUCUGCUUUUUUUUGAAAAGAAUCAAAGACUUUCAAAAUAAGUGGCUCUUAUAUUAACAAACUGCAUUUGUGCUCAUUGAAGACAUUUUCAUGACAGAUUAGAAUGUUUGCCUUAGAUUUUUACAGCUGUGUAAUAGAAUAUUAUCCUGCAUUUACAGUUUAAUGUGUCAGAUUCAUUCUGAUUUCAUUUCAGUGCCUUCAUUCUUCUGCUGAAGACGCAUUAAUAUAUGACCCAAAAAUACCAUUAACAAACAACUCAGUUCUUCGACUCAAUCAUUAAAUAAAAUGUGUGUUUACUGUUUAGGAGUCUAAAUGUAACAGGUUGUUUCACAGUUGGACCCACAGCGACUUCUGCUGGUGAGACUGAACACUAAUAAAUGUCACUGCUCAGCUUUUCUUUAUUA
Long non-coding RNA from Betta splendens (Siamese fighting fish), 4085 nucleotides. RefSeq lists it as uncharacterized. The transcript has 2 exons. The record is from RefSeq and is a predicted model, not a curated record. Lineage: Eukaryota; Metazoa; Chordata; Actinopteri; Anabantiformes; Osphronemidae.